This 334-nucleotide long non-coding RNA is filed under the name Malus domestica (apple). Its description in RNAcentral is "long non-coding RNA (MDOM_LNC003789)". The record is from RNAcentral. Lineage: Eukaryota; Viridiplantae; Streptophyta; Magnoliopsida; Rosales; Rosaceae.
GAAUUUAGAGAUUGAGUUCAAGCUUCUUUUGCAGGAGGAUGGAACAACUACUGCUUCAAUCUUAUUUUUCUUGGUUUAUGGAAUGCAUUUCAAGGAGCAAUGGAAAUCUCGGACAACACCAUAUGUGACUGUACCUGAGCAACAUUGUGUAAGUCACCAUGUUUUCUCUUAUGUGAUUGGUAAAAGAUGGAUUUUGGUAGAGCUGGAGUUGCAUCAUAAGAAAACCGGUAGACGUAUUCGGAUGCUCACUUUUGGUAGUGAAGAGGUAAUAGUAUUCAGGCCAAAUCUAAGAGUUGAUGGUGCUAAUGUUUAUGCAUGGUUGUACGAUUAUGGA